GACGACGGCUGGCGGCGUGCCUAACACAUGCAAGUCGAGCGGGGUUGAAGCGAGGGGUAACUCGAACUUCUACCUAGCGGCGGACGGGUGAGUAACGCGUGGGCAACCUGCCUCAAGGUCUGGGAUAACAGCUCGAAAGGGCUGCUAAUACCGGAUAUGCCUAUAGCCUCGCAUGGGGCUAUGGGCAAAGGGGAAACCCGCCUUGAGAUGGGCCCGCGUCCCAUCAGCUAGUUGGUGAGGUGAAGGCUCACCAAGGCGACGACGGGUAGCCGGCCUGAGAGGGUGACCGGCCACACUGGGACUGAGACACGGCCCAGACUCCUACGGGGGGCAGCAGUGGGGAAUCUUGCACAAUGGGCGAAAGCCUGAUGCAGCGACGCCGCGUGAGCGAAGAAGGCCUUCGGGUUGUAAAGCUCUGUCUGGAGGGACGAAGAAAGUGACGGUACCUCCGGAGGAAGCCACGGCUAACUACGUG
This 475-nucleotide ribosomal RNA is filed under the name uncultured bacterium. RNAcentral describes it as "bacterial SSU rRNA". It matches the Rfam family "Bacterial small subunit ribosomal RNA", at positions 35 to 507 of the family's 1533-position model. The record is from RNAcentral.